RNAcentral lists this unclassified non-coding RNA (328 nucleotides) under soil metagenome. RNAcentral describes it as "partial contains 5.8S ribosomal RNA, internal transcribed spacer 2, and large subunit ribosomal RNA". The stretch from base 1 to 119 matches the Rfam family "5.8S ribosomal RNA", at positions 35 to 154 of the family's 154-position model. The record is from RNAcentral.
GAUGAAGACGUAGCGAAAUGCGAUAAGUAAUGUGAAUUGCAGAAUUCAGUGAAUCAUCGAAUCUUUGAACGCACAUUGCGCCCCUUGGUAUUCCGAGGGGCAUGCCUGUUCGAGCGUCAUUAUAACCCCUCAAGCUCAGCUUGGUGUUGGGGCCUGCUGCACUGGCAGCCCUUAAAAUCAGUGGCGGCGCCAUCUGGCUCUAAGCGUAGUAAUUCCUCUCGCUAUGGAGUCCUGGUGGAUGCUUGCCAUCAACCCCCAAUUUUUCUAUGGUUGACCUCGGAUCAGGUAGGGAUACCCGCUGAACUUAAGCAUAUCAAUAAGCGGAGGA